Non-coding RNA from Hydra vulgaris (swiftwater hydra), 627 nucleotides. NCBI's taxonomy places the organism in Eukaryota, Metazoa, Cnidaria, Hydrozoa, Anthoathecata, Hydridae. The record is from RefSeq and is a predicted model, not a curated record.
AAACUAGGUAAUCAAACAAGUCACACUAUGGAACCUAUGGGAGAACAGAUAAAGUCGAUUAAAAAAGAAGAAGUGAAAUGGAAGUAUGAUUAUUAUUAGAUAUUUUUAUGUCAAAGUUUGUAUUUACAUCUUUUAUACUUUUUUUACUAUUAUACAGAAGUUGUUACUUACAACAAAGAUAUGGUUUUUCAGAAAAGUUUGAAAUAUUAACAUUACCACAUGCUAUACAAGCUGAUGGUAUAUCAUUUGGAGUAUUCUGCCUUAAGUUUGCUGAAAAUUAUACAAAUGGAGAAGUUAAUGCAUACAGAAAGAGAGAUAAAGGAAGUUCGUGAGAUUCUUUAUAGAACUGAAAAUGUUUAUACAACUUCAAUGUUAAAUGAUAUCUAUAAAAAAGACAAAAAAAAUGAUGCGAAAUAAUAUCAAUAGGUCAGAAAAGUUGGCAGAAUAGUUUGUGUCGCAUUUGUGGAAGUGAAAUUGGUCCAAAAACUAGUAAAAAUCAAAAAAAGGUUAAAUGGAUCAAAUGUGAUAUUUGCAUCCGAAUUGAUGGUACCGUAUGAGAUGCAUUGUUUUUAGAAAUAAAACUUUAUUUUGUUGUGAACAUACUUAUAUAUAAAUGUAAUAAUAAAU